CCGAAGUACAGGCCCUUUUACAGGGCUAAACUUCCACCCUUUGUUUACUAUUCUUUGUUGCUUUGGCGAGACGUCUUCGGACCACCGGCUCUUGGGCUGGUGAGCGCUCGCCAGAGGAAAAUCAAACCCAAACCUUUUUUAGUGUCGUCUGAGAAACAAGUUUAAUUAUUA
Molecule: unclassified non-coding RNA, 171 nt
Filed under: uncultured Ascomycota
Lineage: Eukaryota; Fungi; Ascomycota
Description: sequence contains ITS1
Source: RNAcentral